Non-coding RNA from Cinara cedri, 322 nucleotides. The record is from the annotation of a GenBank genome assembly. NCBI's taxonomy places the organism in Eukaryota, Metazoa, Arthropoda, Insecta, Hemiptera, Aphididae.
GUCUAUAAAUAGGUUAGAAAUGUUUUGAAUAUUUUACCACUUCUAGAAAAGGUCAAUAUAAGUUUUCUGUCAAAAUUUUAAGUCUCUACGAAUAUUUUGAACUGGAUUACAAGAAAAAAAUAAAAUUAAAAAUAAUGAAACCCGCAUUAUAUCUGUAAACUUUCCCGUUCCUUCUACGUUUUUACCAGUUUUGCUCAGCUAUGAAGAAAACUACAGGAAAAAUAAAAAUAAAAAAAUUUUCUGAUUCAUCAACUAGAUUCAAAAUGUAACGGAAAAAAUGUCUUGUUAUUUGUUGAUUUGAGUAAUAUCCCUAGUAGAAAAU